Molecule: long non-coding RNA, 235 nt
Filed under: Actinidia chinensis (golden kiwifruit)
Lineage: Eukaryota; Viridiplantae; Streptophyta; Magnoliopsida; Ericales; Actinidiaceae
Description: long non-coding RNA (ACHI_LNC001448)
Source: RNAcentral
UCAGAUUGCUUGAUAUCUGGUUAGCCCACUCUUGUAAGGUCUUGGGAGAAAUAGUCUAGAGGGCAUGGGAGAAUCCAAAGGGUCAGGUUAGAAUCAUUAGCAAUAAAUAAUAUGUUUGAAGCUGAAUGGUUUAAAUUACAUAAUUGUUGGCCAAGUUUCAGGUGAUUUACUGCUAGUUGGAAUCUCAUUUUCUCUACAUGCCUUCAUUUGAGUCAUCUAGCUUUUUCCAUUAGUU